GCGAGAGUAGCUCAGUUGGUAGAGCUCCACGUUGCCAACGUGGUUGUCGCCGGUUCGAGUCCGGUCUCUCGCU
RNAcentral lists this transfer RNA (73 nucleotides) under bacterium. RNAcentral's name for it is "tRNA-Gly". It matches the Rfam family "tRNA". From Rfam's summary of the family: Transfer RNA (tRNA) molecules are approximately 80 nucleotides in length. Their secondary structure includes four short double-helical elements and three loops (D, anti-codon, and T loops). RNAcentral also lists the same sequence under 2 other names. The record is from RNAcentral.